CAAAAAUUGCCAAAAAGAAAUGUUCGCGUUUUUGCCUAAAAUAAAAGGUUUCAUAUUAGGCAAAAACGCGAACAUUUCUUUUUGGCAAUUUU
Molecule: small RNA, 92 nt
Filed under: Mytilus galloprovincialis (Mediterranean mussel)
Lineage: Eukaryota; Metazoa; Mollusca; Bivalvia; Mytilida; Mytilidae
Source: RNAcentral